Molecule: non-coding RNA, 1584 nt
Organism: Aegilops tauschii subsp. strangulata
Lineage: Eukaryota; Viridiplantae; Streptophyta; Magnoliopsida; Poales; Poaceae
Source: RefSeq, a predicted model, not a curated record
AAACCUACCUUCGAUCCUCAACUGCUCCAUUAAUGCCCCCUAGCAUGUACAAGUCCCCUUGUUAUACUCUUUAUUUAUUCCACCUCCAAUUUUUUUUCCGAGUUCUAUUCUUCGUCACAGGUUCACUGCUAUUACCUCGGUGCAAAAAAGUGCCAAAAAGUUCAGUUCAUACUAUUCUAAAUGUCCAUAUUGUAGAUAAUAUUUGUGCUGUCUUAAAUUUCUGGAAACAAGCUUCAGUACAAGAAAAAUGGGCCAGUCAGUUCAUCCAUAUGCAAACCCCCGUAACAAAACGUAUCUCUAAUCCAAUUAGGUGAGGAUGUGCAACAUAUGUUUAAGUAAAACAUUUAUACCAUGUUACAAAAGUAACUUACCCUGUUCCAUAGAAGAUUGAUUGAAUUUUUAAAAUAUAUUUUAGAAAAUAAGUGUGCACAAAGUAGCUCUCUCUCUUUCUAUUACUCUGUCUCAUGUGAUGUUACUGCUCCUAGUAUGUGAAAUUUCCUGCCAUAUUGACAAAAUGAGUGAAAUCUUAUGGUGUUCUCUGUGAAAUGGAGAUACCUAGUCUAACAAGAGUUCAAGUAUAGAAAAUGUGGCAGUGGCAAUUUUCAAAACCUUUAACUGUUGAAGUACAUAAGAAACACAAAGUCCAUUCUGCAAAAACAACAGUAGACGUGAUGUUCAAUUUUGCUAAAUUAUGCAAGUGGUAAUUCAUAUGGGUUUCCUUUGUGGUGAAGAUUUCAUCAGUACUGAUAGCUUAACUUAUUAUGUUAAUUCUAGUGCGGCACUAGCGAAGGUAGAAAUGUACUGAAUGUUCACACCUUUAAUCGUCUCAUUUUGUGAACACGCAUCAGUUCAGUAUGAAAAAGGAACAUAAUAAGUUAACUUUGCAAGUGAAUCAGUUCACCUUGAAUAAAAUACAGAAGUGCACCAUCAAGUUUUCCAUCAGUUCGCUUAUAAAAAAACAGAAAGUUGGUUGUGUAAAGAAAAUCGGAAAACCAAUGUCAGCCUAGAAGUUCACUAGGGGACUCCACGCAAGUGCACUCCUUAGAAAAUUUUGGGUUUACUAUAUUUUAUAGACUGCAGAAAUUUUGAACUUACUAUUUUGAAAUUUUCGUUGUCAUUAUCCAAAGUUGUACGCUGGACUAAAAGUUGUCUUUUUUGAUCUUUAGUUCUGACCUUUUUUUCUGAACUUACUAUUCUGUUUGUGUACAUUAUCCUCUCGUCAAUUUUGUGAUUUUAGACUAAGUUUCAGCCCUCGAGCAAGAGCUCGUCCACCACGGGUGCUUGCAGCCGUCCAAGUCUCAAUUUCUUCUCAGUUUUCAUGGAUGCUCGCCGGCCAUGCGUCCAGCAUGCUUGUGGCGAUAGCUGCCACCACUAACGGCAUUGGCGGCCAGCACGCCUGGAAUUGAGGCUUCGCCAAGGAACAAGACUGGUAACUAGCGCAAAGGAGACUAUGUUGAGAGGUGGCACUGCUAGACUUGCUGAUGUGUAGUUAUGGCAUAAAAAAGAUGAAAAAAAGGGUAUCUUCUAUGGUUCCAUAAGGUGUACGUAGCAAAUCUUCCCAUGUGGAUCAGUACAACUUAUGUA